Molecule: ribosomal RNA, 253 nt
Filed under: uncultured bacterium
Lineage: Bacteria
Description: partial 16S ribosomal RNA
Rfam family: Bacterial small subunit ribosomal RNA
Source: RNAcentral
UACGAAGGGUGCUAGCGUUGUUCGGAAUCACUGGGCGUAAAGCGCGCGUAGGCGGCGAUACAAGUCAGAGGUGAAAGCCCGGAGCUUAACUCCGGAAUUGCCUUUGAAACUGCAUUGCUAGAGUGUCGGAGGGGAUAGCGGAAUUGCUAAUGUAGAGGUGAAAUUCGUAGAUAUUAGCAGGAACACCGGUGGCGAAGGCGGUUCUCUGGGCCUUACCUGACGCUGAGGAGCGAAAGCGUGGGGAGCGAACCGG